RNAcentral lists this signal recognition particle RNA (299 nucleotides) under Erpetoichthys calabaricus (reedfish). RNAcentral describes it as "Metazoan signal recognition particle RNA (ENSECRG00000009742.1)". It matches the Rfam family "Metazoan signal recognition particle RNA". From Rfam's summary of the family: The signal recognition particle (SRP) is a universally conserved ribonucleoprotein. The record is from Rfam by way of RNAcentral. Lineage: Eukaryota; Metazoa; Chordata; Cladistia; Polypteriformes; Polypteridae.
GCCGGGUGCGUUGGGGUGCACCUGUAAUCCCAGCUACUCGGGAGGCUGAGGCUGGCGGAUCGCUUGAGGCCAGGAGUUCUGGGCUGUAGUGGCCUAUGCCGAUCAGGUGUCUGCAAUAAGCUCGGCAUCCAUAUGGUGUUUCCAAGGGAGCUUGGGAUCACCAGGUCGGCUAAGGAGGGGUGAAUCGGUCCAGGUCAGAAGCGGAGCAGAUCAAAGUAUUUGAGCAACAUUGUUCCCUCAGAUUCCUUUGGUUCUGACUCAGAUGUUGUUUUGCCAGACUAAUGAACAUCUUCUCUCAA